This is a long non-coding RNA of Astyanax mexicanus (Mexican tetra), 581 nucleotides long. RefSeq lists it as uncharacterized. The record is from RefSeq and is a predicted model, not a curated record. The transcript has 2 exons. NCBI's taxonomy places the organism in Eukaryota, Metazoa, Chordata, Actinopteri, Characiformes, Acestrorhamphidae.
AACGGGUUUUAUUUUGUUUAUUUAUUUUUCACACAAAAUCUUCAUAUUUUACAUGCUAGCAUUUUUCUAUAUUUUAUUUACAAAAGAUUGGUUAAAAAUAUAUUUAUUUUCCAGGACUUUUAUUAUUUUAUUUUAUUGUAUGUUAUUUUUCUCCAUUCCUCUGGGGGGCGCAGCGUCUUUUAGUGUUUAGCUAGUCUCUCCUCAGUUGGCUGAGAGCUCUGCUGGAGAGAGGUUGGUAGAAUUCAGACUCUCUUUAAAAGUGUCUAAAAAGAGUUCAAUAUGUGUUAAAAAGUGUUAAAAAUAGUUUAAUAUGAAGCGUAAGGCCUUUAAAUGUAAUAUUCUGGAUGUUUUAAGGAUGGAUGAUCUGUAUUUUUAACUAAAUCUUCGAGUUGAAUGUGUGAGAAGUGUUAGUUAGCUACAGCUGCCUGUGUUUAGUUCAGUCCUAACUCUCCCUCCAUUUUGUGUGGUUUUGGGGAUCAUGCAGUGAUUUGUGCAGGCAGACACGAGGCUGGAUGCUAUUUCUCACAGCUUUCUAUCUUGUACAUCCAGAUAAUAAAAGAUUCCCGGAUUGGUACCAACAA